UUUCUAGAGAUAGAAAGUUACUUCGGUACAUCGGUGACAGGUGGUGCAUGGUUGUCGUCAGCUCGUGUCGUGAGAUGUUGGUUAAGUCCCGCAACGAGCGCAACCCCUAUUGUUAGUUGCCAUCAUUCAGUUGGGCACUCUAGCGAGACUGCCGGUAAUAAACCGGAGGAAGGUGGGGAUGACGUCAAAUCAUCAUGCCCCUUAUGACCUGGGCUACACAUGUGCUACAAUGGUUGGUACAACGAGUUGCGAGUCGGUGACGGCGAGCUAAUCUCUUAAAGCCAAUCUCAGUUCGGAUUGUAGGCUGCAACUCGCCUACAUGAAGUCGGAAUCGCUAGUAAUCGCGGAUCAGCACGCCGCGGUGAAUACGUUCCCGGGCCUU
RNAcentral lists this ribosomal RNA (382 nucleotides) under uncultured Streptococcus sp. RNAcentral's name for it is "bacterial SSU rRNA". It matches the Rfam family "Bacterial small subunit ribosomal RNA", at positions 997 to 1382 of the family's 1533-position model. Lineage: Bacteria; Bacillati; Bacillota; Bacilli; Lactobacillales; Streptococcaceae. The record is from RNAcentral.